AUGGUUUUGAUAGAGAAGGAAGCUAAGGGAUUUGUGUUUGCUGGACCCGUUGAGGAGGUGCCCGCUGCCAGGAGAUGGACUUUGAUCGGUAAAGCAUGUACGCCAAGGUCUAAGAAUUUCACUGCCCUAAAACGCACCCUGAUAAGGGCCUGGGGCCUGCACCGGGAAGCUCAAUUCCGGGACCUUGAAAACAAUCUCUCCUUGGUUCACUUUGGUGGAGAAGGAGACUGGAAACACGCAAGGAAUAAUGGACCGUGGCAAUUUGAUUUCAAUGGCUAUGAUGGCAAGACAAGGCCGUCGGAGAUGGUUUUUGGCUCGGUUGAGGCUUGGGUUAGAGUAGAAGACUUUCCACUGGAUAGAAGGACCAAGGAGUUUGGGGAAGCACUGGGUAACUGGUUGGGAGAAGUCAUAAAAGUAGAUGUGGAGAAAGAUGGAUAUGCGAAAGGGAAAUACCUUCGAGUUAGGGCUAAGUUAUCAGUUUAUGAACCAUUGGUGCGAUGCUUUAAUCUGAAGGAGUCAGAGGACGAUGAAAUUGGUACAUGGUUCAACUUCUAUUACGAGAAAAUUCCCCACUUUUGCUUUGAGUGUGGGAGGCCGGUGCAUGUUAAUGGCAGGUGUGAGCCGCCAAUUGACAAAUCCUCACAAUGGAGAGAAUGGUUGAGGGCUUCUCCGGGACGAAAUACAGCAGGCAUGGGGGGGUCUCUAGGUGGUGUGCAGCAAGCGCUAUCAACAGUGAUGAUAACUCUCGCACUGGCGGGGGCGAUCAAAGCCGCUACGGUCAUCCUAGGGUCCGGGACCUCCCUACAAAACACAAUCUCAACUCGGAGUUCUCUCAGACUGGCAACUCCCACACUGGUGAGGAUCCACAACGGGAGAGGAAUGAGGUUAAUAACCACUCUAAGGACAGCCAUAGAGAUGGUGGUGCUCGUGAGACUGGCCUACGUCAUGAGCUGGAAAAGAAAACAGAGAAGGAUCUACGCCAAGAAUUGGUAA
This 993-nucleotide ribosomal RNA is filed under the name Triticum aestivum (bread wheat). Its description in RNAcentral is "partial small subunit ribosomal RNA". Lineage: Eukaryota; Viridiplantae; Streptophyta; Magnoliopsida; Poales; Poaceae. The record is from RNAcentral.